This is a non-coding RNA of Chlorocebus sabaeus (green monkey), 17465 nucleotides long. The record is from RefSeq and is a predicted model, not a curated record. NCBI's taxonomy places the organism in Eukaryota, Metazoa, Chordata, Mammalia, Primates, Cercopithecidae.
CACCACGGCAAUGCCAACGCUGAGGUUGGUGCUGGCCCCUGCCCCAGCCCCCUGCGGUGCGCAGGACGGCGGGUGGGGGCAGGGAGGGCGGUGGCUCGCGCCACCUCACACCCAGCCAGUGCCUCACGUGGCACCCGACCUGCUGGGCCAAUCUGAGCCCGGGUGGCAUCAAAACCAUACCCUUUCGGCCAAUGACAGGACACGGCACAUCACUUUCCGCGCCCAGCCAAUCCGUGCAGCAGCCCGCCGCAAGCCUUCCCCUGCUGCUGCCCAAUCAGCAGGUGGGGGGCGGUUGCCACGUCAGCUGUGGUGGGGGUAGUCGGAGCGCCGCUGCAGUCUCCAGGCAGAACAGUCGCCGCGUCGCCUCAGUACGGACUUCCAGGGAGCUCCUCAGCAAGAUCCUGCCAGGGCUCCCUCAGCGUGGCUCUCCCCGGGGCUCCUCAGCGCAUUUCUCCCGGUGCGCCCCUCAGCGCGGUCCUCCCUGCACGGUUCUCCGCGACGGCUCCUCAGCGCGGUGCUCUUCCGGGGGCUCCUCAGCGCGGCCCUCCCCAUCUCCCUGGGAGGGUCAGAACACGGUCACCACGGAACUGGGCGGACGGCGCGGGACGGGUGAUCACUGACGUUGCUGAGGUGAGCUGUGUGCCCCGCGGCCGUCCCAGAUCACAGGCGUCAGCAGUGCAGCCUGGCCUGGGCAGUGCGCUCCCCUCCGCACCUUAUGGACAGCGUGGCCAGGGUCGGCGUCCGAGUUCCCGGCCGCAUCCCAGGGAUCGGAUUCCGGGUCUAUAGUUCGCGUGGUGGUUCAGAGUUGGCUGAAUUGGGAUUGGAGUCUGGAAUCCGCAUCGUGUUUCUGAGUCUGCGCUACUGGGACGGAAGUUGGGAAUCCAUGUUGUGGUUUUGAGUCAAAGCCCGAAUUGGGACCGGAGUCGGAAAUCCACUUAGUGGUUCUGAGUCAGGGCCCGAAUUAGGAUCGGAGUUGGGAAUCCCCGUUGUGGUUCUGAGUUAGGUAUCCUAGUUGGAAUCAGAAUUCGGGUCUAGGAUCCACAUCCUGACUGGGAGUUUGCCUGAGUUGGGAUCUGAGUAGUUGGGGUCCGAGUCAGUCCAGGUCUGGAGUCCGCAUAGUGGUUUUAGGUUGGGCCUCAUUAGGAACAGAGGAUCAGGAGUCUGAGUUGGGGACCUGAAUCCCGUUCUGGAGUCUGCAUCAUGUCUCUGAGUGUAGAUCCAAGGGAGGUCCGAGUUGGCGACUGGAGUCAGGGUCUGGAGUCUGCCUUUGGGUAGAGGUUCUGAAUAGGGGGGUCUGAGUUAAGAGAUUGGGGCUAGAGGUCUGAGUUGGGUAUUGGAGUCAGGAAUUGAAGUUGAAGUUCUGCGUCUAGGUGGGGAUUCUGAGUCAGGAAUUAGGGGGCGAAGUAAAGAUUGCAGUCUGAGUUGGGGGUGGUGAUCACCUGCCAGGUGAGAGGCAGUGGUAGAAGUCUUGGUCAUAUUGGGGAUGAGAGUCGAUUGGAUGGAGGUCUCAGUCUGGGUAGUAGGCUUGAAGGGCCAUCACUGCGUUCAGAUCCCAGUGCCCCACUGUGGUCCCUGAGCAGGUCAAAUAGCCUUAUAAAAUUGGGGGUAAGAGUGCCUUCCCACAGAACUGUUCUGGGUAUGAAAGUUCUGUCUUAGAUUAUCACAACGUAUAAAAACUUUCCUGAUAAUAUCCACAUUUGAUGUGCAUUUACCAGUUCUUUCUAUAUUGUGGUGCCCCUCUUGCUAGACCAAAAGCUCCCAGGGAGGAACUCUGUUUUGUUUUCUGCUGCCUGCCCUGUACCCAGCCAAGAGCCUGAUACACAGCCUUGCUCAGUCAGUACUUGAAGGAAAGCAGGCAGGCAGGAUUAACCAGAUUUCUAUGGUGUCUCAAAUGAUCCAUUUCUGCACCUGUUUUCCAGAUACUCACUAGGAGAAAAAUUUAAGGAUUGAGUUGCUUGAUUAUGGUUGUAUUUUAAUGUGUUUCCUAACAUGCUGAGGAGAAAAGUGGGUCUGUUUCAGGAUUUAUGCUCCAGCUAGAGGGAUCUUUUUAAAUUGCGAAUCAGAGCAUGUCCAAAUUCAGAUAGAGAGCACAGGAAAACUAUAAAGAAUUUCCCUUAUGAAUGUAGAUGCAGAAGUUCCGUGUACAACGUUAGCUAACCAAAUCCAGUAAUAUAUAUUAAACAAUUCUUAAACAAGUGGGAUUUCUCUUAGGAAUGCAAAGAUGAUCCAAUAUCAGAAACUUUAUCCAUAUAAUUCACAUUAAAAGGCUACAGGAGAAAAACCAUAUGGUUCUCUCAAUAGAGGCUGAAAAAAUGAUGUGAUAAAGUUUAACGCCUGUGUGUGAUUUGGGGAUAGUGGAGGACACCACUUAGCAAGCCCGGACUAGAGAGGAACUUCUUCAACUUGAUACAAGUUAUAAACCAAAACUUAACUUUUCAGUAAACUUGAUAGAGAAAUUAAAAAUAUGUAAUUCUCUUUAAGAUAAGGAGUAGGCCAAGGAUGUCAUCUUGGCUAUACCCUAAUACAAGAAAACGAAAUGGAGAUGUGAGGAUCAGAUAGGAAGUCAUAAAACUUAGUGUAGCUCAUAGGAUUGAUGGUCUCCAUAAAGGUUCUCAAACAUUUUGGUGUUACGACCCGUUGUGUUCUUAAAAAUUACUGAAACCCCUAAAGGGCUUUUCUUGAUAGAGAUUCUAUCUAUUGAUGGUUACCAUCUUAGAAGUUAAAACUAAGAAAUGUUUAAAGCAGAACUAUACAAGCACAUAUUCCAGUGGGGUCAUGGUGUGCUGCCUCUGGAAAACCCUUUAUCUUUGUGAGAAUGAAAGAAACGGCAAAUAAUGUCUAAGUAUUAUUAUGAAAAUGUUUCUGACCUUUCCUGAAAGGGUCUGGGGGGCUCUCUGGAAUCCCCAGACUACACUUUGAAAAUGACUGGGCUACAUGGAAAAAAAAAUUAAGAAACUUACAACUAAAGAGAGAUUUCAAAUUUCAGAGAGGUUUUAGAUAUAAGAUCAGUGUACUCAAAACAAAAAACAAAAACAAACCACAUUUCUUUAUGCUAAACAAAAGCAUAAUAGAGAUUAAGACAGCAAUCAGAAUAGCAACAAAAUUUAUACCAGUCUAGGAAUUAACAAAGAUGAUGACUUUUAUGGAAAAAAAUUCUAAAACUCUAUUGGAGGGAUAUAGAGGGAGAUCUUUCCAUAUGCAGAGACAUUUUAUUUUCUUGAAUGGGGCAACUUAGCAUUAGAAUGAUGUCAGGAUUUUCCAAAUCUGUAAGUUCAAUAGGACUCCACUCCAACUUCCAGUUGGAGGGCUUGAGUAAUUUAACAAACAUAUUCUAAAAUGUAUGUGGAAGAAAAAUAUUUGUAAAUGCCAACUGAACUUUUAAAAAGGAGAGCAGAGGACUUCUGCUGGCAGAUACCAGGGCACACGCCAAGCUUCAGCAAUCAGAGCAGUGUAGUGACAGAGGCCCAGAAGAGAGCUCAGAGGUAACUCCAAGUCUAGAGGAAGGGGACAUGUGAUAAAGGUGGCACCACAUAUCAAUGGGGACUGUUCAGAAGAUGAUGUUGGAAGGCCAGCCCUAAAAUGGAGGAAUAGGAAUAUGGAUUCCUAACUGAACCCCUAGGAAAAGUAGGCUCCAAAUGGACUAAAGAUUUGAAAGCAAAAGGUAGUUGCCAUUUGUUUAAUAGGAGAAAAAAAUGAAUAAUCUCCAGGGCCAGGGUGGCCAUGGGGUUAUUAAACAGGAUCCAGAAAGCACAAACCUCAAGACUAAAACGUAUGCAUUUGAAUACAUUAAUGAUUAUGGAUUAAGGAUUUCUGUUAAGUAAGUCCAUCAUGGCAAUGGUCAGGACUGUUUUCAUAAUAAUACUAAGGAAAUGAUUUGCCUUUUUCACUUUUACACUCAUGAAUGUAACUGUGCCAUGACUAGUUACAAGGUAUUUGAAACAAUUAAAGUUGAGAAGGGAACAACAGCUAAAAUAUACCAGAAAGCACCACACAUCAUUAAGAUAAAGGUAGGAAGAUUGGCAGUUUGCAGGAGGGUUAACAAAUAGAUUAAAAUUUGCCCAAGCUAAUCAGUUAUCAGAGAAAUGUAAAUGAAAGCAACAGCUAUUCUUCGUAGGAGAAGCAUUAGAAAGUAGGAUAAGGCCAAGUGUUGGCAGAAGGCAGGGAACAAGCCUCCCUGUGUGCUGCAGGUGGGGACGGAGACAGGCACAGACAUUCUGGAGAGCCAGCCAGUACUUCUUCCUCAAAUAAAAUAUUUUAUACCUGUGGCCCAGCAGUUUCCCUCCUGAGUAAACAUGCUGGAGCAGUUCUCACCCAGAACAACGAGAGGCUGUGUGUGUGCAUGCUCAGGGCAGCAUGGACGAUGGGGGUGGGCAGUUGGAGCUGGUCACUGUGGUUAGGAGCAGGGGACUAGAUGUACACUUCACGAGAUAGAGACGUGUGGAAACACAGUGCUGAGUGACACAAAUGCCAAACAGAAUGAGUGCCUCAGUACAUGACUGUGUAUUUAAAUUAAAAUUACACACCACCCAGACAUGCAGUACUAGGGAGUGCUCGUGAGUGCACACACACACAAUGAUAUAAAUAAAUUACCCUGGAGCAGCUGUUUGUGCAAGGAGGGGAGCAAGGAUAGAGGAUAGAGAUGAAGUGGAAAAGCAUGGAGAGGAAGAGAGAGGUGCCUUUAUGCAGACCCUUACAGGGUGAUGGUGUUUCAUAGGCUGAGGGCUGUGAUCAACUCUGUGCAGAGUCCCAAAAGCCAAGAAUGAACGAAUGAAUGUGCGUCCAUGAGUCUCCUGCCAGAUACCCUCUAAUGACUUCUAUUUCUAGGAAAUAAAAUUCAAAUUCCAUCAGGUUUUUACAAGAUCUGCCCUGCUUACCUCUCUGACCACUGUCCUCCCUCACUGAGCUUUGGCUCUGCCAGCCUUCUUCUUCUUUGUUAAAUCUGCCAAGUAUCCCUCCUACCCCAGGGCCUUCACCACCUCUGCCUGGCUUGUCCUUUCUGGUGAUCUUCCCUUGACAAUUCCUUCUUAUUAUUUAAAUCUCACAGGAAAUUUUGGUCUGACCUGCCAUAUCUGUCAUCCCCUUUAGUCACUCACUAGCUGAGGACUACAUUUCAAGUCUCUGCAAAGCACAGGCUAUGCUUUUCUAGUUUCUUAGGCAUCUACUUAUUUGUUGGCUGCCUAUCUCUUCCACCGGAAGGGAGGCCCCAAGAGAGCAUAUGUGUCUUCUGUAUAGGGUCCGCACGUGGUGGGUGUGUCACAGAUUUCUGUUGAAUGGUUUCAUUCAUUUAUUGAAUGAAUGAAGAGGUCAGGCCAGGAAAGUGUGCAUCCAUUUUGACAACUCAGUGAGAAAGCAAAUAGCAUGUCAAAAUCUGACCCCUUACAACCAGGGUUUCUUAGCCAACCACACUGGUAAUGCUUGGGACAGGAUGUAUCUUUGUUGUAAGGGGCUGUCAUUUAUAUUGUAAGAUAUUUAGUAUCCUGCCUGGUCUUUACCUAGUAGAUAUUAGUAAUCCUCCCAUAGUUGUGAUAGCCAAAAAUGUCUCCAGACAUUGCCAUAUGUCCCCUGGGGGGCACCCCAGAUGACAACCACGUCCUUAGACCAGCUCUUGGGACUGGGAUGGUAUCUCUGCUCUGGCUCUUUAAAUGCAGCAGGCCCUGGCUUGCAUCCUGCCACUUCUAACACCCAUAGCCUCACUACCUCUGUGAGAAAGACCCCGUCCCAGGCCUGGCCAAUCAGAGUACCCUCUUCCCUGGUCAGCAGUAUAAUUUGAGUUUGGCAAGUAUUUCCAGUCCCACAACCUAUGGGCUGCCACCCAGGGGUUUAGUUGGAACUACGUUUCAGCUGCAGUCCCUCAGCCGUCUAUAGCAUGGGCACCUGUGGCUUGACCAAGUUGGAGGUGGCCUAGAGAGGCCAGGCUGGGCCUGCUCACCUUCUCCAGUUAGUGCAGACUGAUGAAUGAGUGGUUCUCAGCGGAUACUGGAUCCAGGUUUGCAGUACACUCCAGGAGGAGGACGAGAAAGGUUUCCCUCAGAGCAGGCCUGGAUGGGAGGGCAAGGAGUGGCCUCUAAUACUGCCUUUCCUUCUGGUGCCUCUAUCAGCCUGUGCCAUGCUCCUCUGAACUGACCGGCCCCAGCAUGUCUAGGUUACUGGCAAGAGCCUGGAUAACCCAGGGUUCCAGUCAGACCAUCCAGGAAGGCCCAUGAGGCUGGAGCGCACCCAGUCUCUGGCAGUUCUGUCUGCGGAACUAAAAGCCUUUCUCCCAGAGCCUUUCCUACGGCUGGGCGAGGCUCUUGUUUGCAAUUUAAAUGGAGCCUCAUUUAUGGAAGAAUCCCUGCUCCUCCGAAAAGCCUUGGGCUCAACCUCCCUAGCUGCCCGGGCCUCAGCCAGGAGAAGAAAUGGAUCUAAAAGGCCUUUCUCCUGCUAAUUGUAGCAAUUAGCAUUAGAGAAUGGGGACUCGAUGGGGGGCCACUGCCUAGCAAAACAAGCUUAUUCCCAGCUUAGGCCCAGGCCCAGCUCCACACACUGCUGCUUGGCCAGACUCGGCCCCCACCCAGGGUCUGGCUGGCUUCAGGGCAGGGAGAGAGGGCCCAGGCCUGCGGGUGCUAAGAGCAGUUGUGGAGGGCGUGCAUCUGAGUUGUUAAGACAGGUGGCCAUACAGGUAGCCCUGGGCUAUGACUUGUGGUCCUCUCAGAAAAGGGCCUGACUGGAAUGCAGAGCCAGACCAGAUAUUCAUGAGCGGAUCAUAGAGUAUAGACUGAGGGCUAUCUGGUGAUAUGACAGAAAGUAGUCUUGCAGCAAAUGACUCUUAAGAUUGAGUAAGGAGCCAUUCCCCUCUAUGGCUAACUGGAAGCCUUUCUCUCCCCCUACUCCAGAAAGGACUUCCUGUUCCUUCACUGAGUGUGCUUGCUUAUGAGGCUUCUGGGAACCAGGAGAGUUCAGUGGGCCUCAUUAUUGAGCAUAUGGGCACCACAACCUGCUUGUGACAUAGGCCAUGCUACAGUUGAUUUUAGCCAGCUUGCUGCAUCUACACAGCACAGUGCCUUCCCAGGCAGUGAAUUAUGUCUGACAGGCAGGGGAAAUGAUCAUUGCCUCAUUUUAGGGAUGCAGUCAUUCAAGAAAUAUUUGUCAAACACUCACCAGGUACUAGACCCUGGCCCAGCGGGAGGGAUUUGAUAGGAGCAGGGACCUGCCUGCCCUCUGAGGGUUUGUGGACAAAGGGGAGAAAGACUAAUGUUGAAGGACCAUUUGCACCCUGAGGGGAGUGUUGAGGCCUGAGAGCACAGAAGGUGUAUAGCAGGAACCCACUGGAACUAGCCUGGGGUCUGAGAAACUCCCCUGGGGAGAGUGGCAGGGGCAGGCCAAGGGCCCUCUGGUGGUAGGGAGCCCGUGAGCACCUGGGAUGGAAAGAAGCCAAGAAUCUGAACUACCAGAAAGGCAGCUGCAGGAUUAAGCAAGACCCACAGGUCUCUAAACUUUGAAAGGAUUUCUGUCCACUGAGUAGAUAAUUGAUUGGAAUGGGGCAGGGAAUGUGAGAACGCCAAUUAGGAGGUGCCUGCAGUACAGAGAAACGGUGGCCUACCAGGGCAGUGGCAAUAUGGAUGGAGGGAAGCAGGGAACCUCUAGAACUAUGGAUGGGUGAAGUAAGCCUGGCUUGGUGAUGGACUUGAUGCGGGUGGUGAGGAAGGGGGUGUAUCAGAAAUGACCCCAGAGCUUCUGGCUUGUGCCACUGAAAGGGUGGGUGACAGACAGGGACCUUCAGUAGACUGGGGUAUAAAAUGAUGGAGGCUGUGGAGAGGAGGUGGGGGCAGGUGACUGAAAUGUGGGGUGGGUCUGGCUGGGUUAUAGAGACAUUUUGGGGGAGUCAGGGCCUCACAGGUGGUCCGGAAGCCCUUGGUGCUGAGGGAACAGCUUACGGAAAUGGUUUGCAUAGAGAAAGGCACUGGCAUUUAGUGGCUAUGCCAGGAGGGAGAACCUGCCAAGGAGACUGAGCAUAGAGCCAGAGAGAUGGCAAGAAAGCCAGGAGAACUGGGAAAGAGGGAUGGAAAAGAGGACCUAGGGGUAAUGGUCCUGGCAGAGGUCACAUUGGAUCCAGUGCUUGUGAUUCUCUGAUUGCUGGCGGUGGAUGGCCACUGGCCUGCAAAUUGCCCUAGUGGAAUGUUCCCUGCCUUUGUGCCUCCCUAUGGGCUGCCUUUCCCCUGGACAGAUGGGGAGAGACCCUCUUCCCCACCUGGUUCUCUGUUUCACCCUUGGAACUGUGGCAGUAAAGAGGACCUCUCCACAGUACAUGCAGGGAACAAGCUGGGUUGACUCCCUCAGGGAGGCCUCGUCCUUCCUGAGGUAUUUUAUAACCUCGAAAGGAUAGAGAAAUCCCCCCAACUUUAAUACAAAGCCAAGCAAGCUGAAAAAUGGCCUUGAAUAGGCUGAGAUGAAAAAACAAAGAGGCUGUCAACAUCAGGACUCAGUGGGGGCAGGGAGCUUCAGUGGACUGCCCACAGAGGCCUGAGCCAAAGAUGUCAGGAUGGGUGGUCACUGUAAGGGCAGUGGAUCGCAGCUCUUUUUCUUGUCAUCUCUCCUUCCUGAUUAGCAGCUCAAACACCCUUCCGAGACUCAAGGGGUUAACUGCAGAUCCUCUAACUCCUCCACUUGCUAAUUUUUAAACACAGCUGAGCUCUGAGCACCCCUCCCAAGGCUGUGAGAGGCCAGAGGCCAGCACAGACUCUGCACCAGGUCUGCACAGCCUCCACCCCAAGUGUUGUCAGGAAUCUGCAGGCAUCUAGAACAAAGGUGCCUCCAUUAUUUCCCUCACCCAGCAUAUCCUGAUACCUGAACUAAGACUUCAUCUAGAGCUUUUGCCCACUUCAUUGAUGGUCUGGUCGGCUUUUGUUGACACAUAUCCGUGACUCCCAAAUGAACCUUUAAGGUUGGCUUAAAGCAGCUGGGACCUACACAUGACAAAACCCAGCUGGAAACAGUGGCUUACACUUCUGUGCCCCCAAAGAUACCUGCUCCUAACAGUGGGAGUGCCAAAGCCUGGAAGCUGGAAGCCAAGGAGACAGGGAGCUCCCUCCUGCUGACCCCCUGCCAGGCCAUAUCCACCUAAGGGGUUUGGGAUCAUACUCCAUCUUCAACCACUGGGAUCAAAUGGAAACCCCUUAGGAAUUCUGAGAGACAGCCCUUAUACCUAUGUGCACUGACACACAUACACUGACAAAUAUGCAUUCUGACACAUAUAUGAACAUGCACAUACAUUUGCCUCACUCCCUGCCAGGAGGUGGGUUCUGUCCCAUCUUUGACAUGUUACUUCUUGUUCUUCCCUAGGCCCACCUUCUUUGUGAUGGGCGCUGAGACCCCCUCACUGGGUCCAGUGGCUGUUCCCAGGACCCAGCCUCUGUUCUUAUCUUACCCAACUGUAGUUCCUAGGACCCCAGCUUUUCUCAGGGAGAGAGAUAGAGCUCUUUUGGUCUGGCAUAUGUUCCAUGCCAAGUAGUUGAGACAGCAGCCACAGGGCAGCCUCAGACUUGAUAUCAUUUAAUCCUUGUAACAUUCCUACAGGGAGGAAGACACUACACACACGUGCAGAUGCAGCAAAGAGCAGCUCAGCCACAUGGAAUGACUUGCUUGAGGUCACCGGACACUUGACACAACAGAGUUUAGCCCAGUCUCUGGAGAGACCAGCCCUCCACAUCCUGUCAUGCUGGAGAGGGCUGCCAGCUUUUGUCCCUGCUCCCCUAGUUCUAACCCCGGAAGAGUGAUUGUCCCUGCUCUGCCUUCAACCCAGACAGAAGCAGGCUAGAAGAGGGGAGGAGAGGCAGGGCUGCCCCUUGGAAGGCUCACCUUCCUCACCAGUUCUCUGCUUGGACAAAGGUCUUCCAAGCAGCCAGGUUCUGAGGCUAGUCACUGUCAUCAUUGGGUGAGGCAGCCUAGGAGUACCAGAGGUUGGAGCAGUUGGGAACCUUCCCCAGGGAAGGGGCUGGAUAGGCAGGGGUGGGUGCUCAGUGGCAGGCCACAACUAGGCACCUGGGAGGGCCAAGCACCACACUGAGAAUGCAGUGCUUCCCCUCCCCUCCUGGGCUGCUCAGGAACCAAAUACCACCCAUCAGCCUUCUGUAAACAAAUGAGACUAAGUCUCUGGCACUCUUGGCCCAAGUGCAAAGGGCAGCUGCCCCUGCAGCUACUCACUCUGUCCUGGCCCUCUCAGGAGGCUAUGUGACCUCUGCACCUGCUGGCUUGUUUUGUUCCUAAAAUACGUGGAUGCUUGAGAACCUAGAAGAUACCACUGCUAACAGAUUUCCACAUCAUUCAUUCUGUUCUUCCUGUGCAAGUCUAGUGCUGGGACAAGGACCAUAAAACAAGGUGACCCAAAACUUUUAGCAGAAUGCAGGUAGGCAGGACAGAGGUCUCUGGGAGUGUCAUUCCAAGGCAGUGUCUUCCUCCUCCCCUGUGCUCCCCAUUUCCCAAGAGUGGGCUUCCUCCACCCCACUCAGGCACCUCUUCCCAAGGCUGACCUAAAGGCCUCAAGCUCUGCGGAUAGGGGCAGUCCUGAGGUAGCACUGAAUCUUAGGGUUGGAGUGGGAGAUAUCUGUGCAAAGGCUGCUAGGAACGUCCCCCAAGGACUGACUUCAAAGCUUGGCCUAAACCACUGCAUCAAAGUCAGCAAGCUGAGCUGUUUGCACAGAAAAGGAGGAGGGGCAGGCCCUUGAGCCACCUGUAGCUCUCCUUAGGGUCUCAGGCCUUCGCACCAGAGCAGGCCUCGGGCCAGACCACCCAACUUCUAGGCCAGAUGUGCCACUGGGGAGGAGGAGGACUGCCCCUCAAAACACUGCAGCCCAGGACUCCAGGAUUCCAACCCAGGGACCUGAAGGCUCCCCUGCUCUCCGGAUCAGACCCCUACUCUCAGAGCCAUAGGCCCAGUGGGGGACAGCCUGUGAGAGAGGCCUGUGUGGGGUGGCCCUAGCCCCACCUCUGCUUCCAACCUGACCUUGCUACAUGACCUCUGGCCCAGCCCUCUCCACCUGGAGUGCCAUCUCUCUUUGUGGGGUGGGCCAGGUGGGCUGUGUGUGGGGGAGGGCAAGUAUAUAGGUAUGAUAUAGGUGGACACUGCCACAGUACCCAAUAGCAGUUCAGAGCCAGGCCACCCAAUUUGUAUGCCAGCCCCAGCUGGGCUUAGGCACAUGGUGUGUGGAAAUAAACAAAAUAGGCAGCCCUAGGGUCAGGAGGCAGGUCCAGAGCUCACCCAGGUGCAGCCCAAGAUGAGUGCCUGGCUUCAGUGAGCGAGCACUGGCUGCUAUUGCUGCUGUGGUGUGGAACCCUGACACCAGGGCCACUGGCCUGGCUGUGUGACCUCUACCUCAAUACCCAGAGCGGGGCAACCAGAGGCAGAGUCUCAGUGUGGUGUUCUCCUGUGAAAUAGUGAUGGCACAGGCAGGGGCUAGGGCCCAGUGCCUGCAUGGAGGAUCAACAAAGGAUGGCAAUUAUUGAAACCUCUAUGGGGAAGUUCCCCAGACACCAGAGGAAGACCCCCGUGGAGGCCAUGUGUGUGACGUGCUUAGAUUUUCCAGAGUCUUCAUUUUCCUUGUCUAAACAGAGGUCAUGGCGCCUCCUUCUCAGAUCAAACAGCCCUGUAUGAGUGGCUACAACCUUUGGUGGGCUCAGGGCAGCCCCUCCUGCCCCCUUGCUUAGGAGCCGUCUGCAGAGGCCUAGGGAGCUGCGUGGGGUCUUUCCACCUCAGCCUCUCUCCCCACCCCCACCAGGUCCCCUGCCUGACUCCCCUGCCUUCUAGCAUACCCAGGCCCUAGAAGCACCAACUCCACGGCUGCAGCUGAGUGGAGUGUGUGCCUGCCCAAGCCUAGAGGGGUACUGACCCCUCCCUCGCACGAGGAGACAUCAAAGGGAAGCAGGAAGCAGCGGCCUGGCUGACCCACAGCAGGUGGGAGAAGUGCAGCCUCACAACUGCUGGGGAUUUUCCAUCCCACCAGGAUUUCCGCGGGACACCCCAAGUCCAGCCUUUGAGGCUCCUCAGGAACCAGGGUUUGGCCUGGAGCCAGCUGGGGCAGAGGAGGGGGCCAGGCUGGGUGGUUUAGGGGUGUGGUUAGGCCUGCUAGGGGGCUCCUCUUCUGAGUCUCCCCAUGAUUUGCUGGUUACUGGUUGAAAUCUGAGCCCAGACCCAUUCCAACACUGAACCCUGAGGUCCCUGAGACCUAGCUGGCAAGGACAGGUCCCAGUUUUUACAGGGGCCUGAGAGGAAUGAAGAAGGGAUCUCCACCCCUUCCCUUCUCAGUCACACCUCCUUGACAGGGGGUCAUCAGAGUGGGCUGUGGUAGGUGCACCAGGGAAGGGACCAUACAGAGGAGGCUAGUCUCAAAUCCUAGGGUGCCUGGGAUGGCCCUAUUGAAAUGCAGGAGCUCCUGUGCAGACAGGGAUCUGUAUGGACAGCUGGGUGGACACAGGUGCCUGCUGACCUCCCAGAUCCUUCAGCAGAGCUCAGCCCUGAGUGACAGCCCAAGGCAGGCCUGGCUACCUCAGCCUCUGGCUCACAGCCCUCAGCCAGAGCCCUGAGAGGCCUGGGAUCUCAAAGCUGCAAGGUGAGAGGCCAGGGGAGAGAAGCCCGAAGCUGGUAGUGAUGCUGGCUAAGUGAAAAUUGCACCUGUCCCAGCACUGUGAUGCUCCCUAUCCAGCCUGGGCUUUUGGCAGCCUUCUGUGCUUUGUGGAGGAAGCUGGCUCAGAUUCCCCACCUCCCUGUGCAGUUUGUGUGUCAAGGUGUACUUGUCACACCCAACUCAGGGUGUCUUGCAUCACUUCCUGGGUCAUUGUCCCCAAGAGCUGGGACUGCUGAGUUUUGGCCCUAAGCUCUUGCUUCCAUCUUAGCAAGUCAGGGCCCAGCGUUGUCCUUGCCUUUGUGCAUCAGGAUGGUAAGCUGGGCAUGCUCUGCAUCACAGAGACCUGCAUGGACCUGGAUUGGGUUGCCUCUAUCUUCAGGCUGGUCACUGGGCAGACACAAACCAGGGCCUCUGGUCAGAGGGGACAAUGGCUUUGAUACUUUUGCUACUCUUUAGGGGUGAGCAGGGGCUGCUUGUGCAUCGUAGUGCAUUAUAGGGGAUGCACAUUUACAGUUGAAAGCUACUGGUCCUGAGUAGAAGUGGGGCUGAGUAGGACUUCCCAGCCUUGAACAUGGGGUUGUCAUCCAACUGGGACCCACAUUUGAUCCAGCAGCCAUGCUCUGUGCAACCUAGGCCUGAGAGUAGCCAUGUUCAUGUGAAAAAUGCUAGUAGCAAAGCUGUCAUUCUGGUCACCACAGCUGUCCUUGCAGGAGCACAUUGCCCAGGGCUGGGAGCUGUCAUUUCCGUGACAGGAGUGAGACGCAACAGUGGGUGAGGGUGGGGGUAUCUGUUGGGAAUUAUUUCAAAACAAUUGUGGAAACUUGGCAGUGGAGGGGCUCUGGGCAUAGGUAUCCAUAAUAUCCUAGUCAGGGGUUGGGGUACCCUGGCUCUGCUGAUAAGCCCAAGUGAACAUGCUCCUCCCCCAGCUUGGAACAGGUGGAAUGGGCCAGGUGACACUCAGUGUAGUCUGUGGUCUGGCCUCCCAGGCCAGUGGCAGUACUGGGGUGGCAGACAUUUGCUGUGUACUAUCCCAAGGCCUGAAGGUCACACAGCUAGGUUGGAGCAGGGUUUUGGGCAGGAUGAAUAGGCAUUGCUGUGCUCUCAGAAAGGCAAAGCAAACCCCAGAAGCAAGGGGGUGAGACAGGGCAAAGGCCUACGCUUUGCCAUCAACUCAGGCCUACUCAAGGCUGGCCCUGUCCCUCCCCUGCCCUUGCCCUGCCAGAUGGUGUGAGGUGGAGGGGCUUAGAGUGAGCCCCGCUGACUCUCCUUGGUGUGGAGACUUGUGUGGUGUGUACAGGCCUCACCCGUGUGACCCAGCAGGAGAAUGGGAGAGUGGGCCCAGAACUUGGUCAGGCUCAUCUGUGGAGAACAAGUUCUUCCCUAGUCCAGUUGUGGUCUGAGUCCUGGGUGAAGCAGGAGGCAUCCUGGGAAACAGGCUUGUUCUAGUAGGAAUCCCAUUCUCAGGAAGGCUGUGCGGGGCCCUUUCUCACUGCCAUCUGGGAGGAUGCCUGCCUGCUGGCCAUUUGGGCAGACUGUCAGAGCACCCUCCCUGGGGUCCCAGACCAAAGGCCUGAAGUCCACAUGGGGCCCCUGAACUUCUGGUGCCUGUGUGGGCUUGUCCUCUCAACCCCGAGUGGAAUGGCAACAGCCAGCUGCAACCCUCCUAGCUUCCUGUCACUUGCUAUAUGGAAGGGCCAAGAGCUAUAGUCAUCUGCAGAUCCUCCCACUGCACCUAUGGGACUAGCAUCUCCUGUCUGGAUGUGAGCAACUUGCUGGUGGCCUGUGAGGUGGGAGGUGCACUGGGCUUCCGGAUAAGGGUUUCUUGUUCAGGUGACAACUCUAUGUGAAGGAGACCCAUGGACACGCAUCUAUCCCCUGCCCAUGUACCAGGCAGAGAUGUGGGUGAACUCUUCCAUGACAUGGCAGGGUCCCUGAAACAUCAGACAGAUCAAUACUCUGUGUGCAUGUUUGUGGGCAAGACACAGUGGUGGCAUGUGUGCCAUGGAGUUUGGUAAUGGGAGGACUGAAGUAGUGCCUCUGUGUGUGAGCUGUGCCAGCCAUCCCCACGAAGGGGGCAUUCCAUGUAGAUGGGGAUCCUCUCUAGGCAACCUCUUCCACACCUGAUUAGCUCUGGCCAUCAGACUCCUCAUGCCAAAAGGGACCCUUCCCUGGAAUCUGUAAUUCUCACAGGCUGUCCCAUACAUUUUAAAUCCAGGAAAUGUGCUCACCCAUGAGACAGGGAUGGUGGAAAGGUAUGAAUGAAAAGCAGCCAGUCCUUAAAAUUGGAAGCCAUUUCACUCCUUACCAGGUACAAAGAUAACAUGCUGCGUGGAUCAGGAACACAAACUAACCUACCUUAUGAUGUAGUGAAAGAAUCUGUAAAACUUUUAUCUCAGCAUACUCCCUGGAGGAAGCCAAGCACAGGAGGCCUUGACUAGGAGACCUCAAGCCUUGGCAUGUGCCUAGACCAGUGGGGAGGGAAGGCUGGGAGGCAGUCCUCCCUUACCCCUUUUCUCCCAGGCAGACCUGCCCUGGGUUCUCCCCAGGCCUCUCAGGCCGAGCAAGUGCUCAGUUGGCCACUAGCUCCCUGCAAGUCCAGCAAGUCUUUCUUUCCUGUUCCUUCUUCAAGGAAGGCUUAGCCUCAACUCCAGGGCCACAGACAAAGGACAGUCACUCUCCUCUGCCAGAAAGUCAUUUAUGGGACAUGGAGAAAGCAUCAAAUAUAUUGCUUUUCCAACACCUAAGAGUGGAAUAGGAGGAAUGAAAGGGGAAAUCAGCCAGAAAGUUCUGGAUCAUAGUCUUUUUGCCAAAAUAACAUGUUUUCAAAUGAAAGAGGAUGGUCCUGGGGCACUGAGGAAUCAGGGGGAUAGACCCCACUGGAGCUUGUCUCAUGCUGGCAGCAAGUCCCAGGCCUCAAACACAUACCUGGGCUGCCUCAGGAGAGAGACUGCAGGGAAGAAAUGAGUUGCAAUGCUCCAGCCUAACCAACUCCCCUUUUGUUACUUAAUCCAAUCCCAGAAGGUACUGGGUAGGGUCAAUUAACAAAUAGCUGCCUGUCUCCUGGCAGAGUCUGACCAAGGCCCAAUGGGCGCUUCUCUUCCUAAAUCCUCUGGUGUACCCCAUUCUUCAAGGGAAACAGUCCCCUUAAGAUUCUAUGUGAAAGGGUUCUGAAAUCACUGUACCAGUUAAUGAAUUAUUUACUCUAAACAAUGACUUGAUAAAGGGAGAGGAUGAAGUUAGCUGGUGUUGACUAAGGAGAGACAGAGUUGCCAGGGAAAUUCUUCUAAAUGAAAAAAUAAGAAAAAGCAGUCAUCCAGUUUUGUCUGACAGUGAAACGUGUCACAGAGCAUGCACCUUUGGCCAUCUUUUGCAUUUGUGAUUUGGAAGAGAGAGGCAGCAGUGAGUGUGGGGCCAGGGAGAGGAAUCCAACAAAGCUGUUCUGUGAGGCAGUGGCUGGGAUUUUGGGGUGUAGAGUAAGGGCAGCCAGUCUUAGAGGCCCAUGUCAUCUGGGCUGCCUCAGAGCUAAAGCUAGGUAACCAGAGGGAGUAAGGAAAGGCCUGAGUCCCAGGCUAGGCUUUUCACAGUUGUAUUGAGAUGGGAAAGUAAGGGAUGCUCCUUGCAGCAGAUGCAGGGCCCAGUUGGCUAGAGUAGUAUUUGAAAUGAGUUGGCAUUUCAGGGCAGUGUUUGUGAUGCCAGUCAGUAGGUAGAGGCUUCUACCUCUUUUUAAAGUCUUGCUCUAUGUUAUAAUCUCUACUUCUUCUCAGAAGUUUGAAAUGUUUACUCUGAACUAAGCUCUAUGCUUUAACAAGUUAUGUUUUAAUAGGAAAACCGUCAUUGAUGGAAUCAUAUGUAAUUCCUACAUUUUUCCAGUUACCCAUUCCUAGGGAAAGCUUAGCCAUUGGACAAACCAGCCAGAGCCCCAGGAACCUACAUUUGCAGACAGCAGUGGCAGGCAUAGUGGCCUAGUGUUGGAUGGGGGAAACCUGGCCUCUAUGUGUCUGGUUUUGCAAACUAAAAUGCCAUUGCCCAUACUCAGGCUGACAGGUCCUGGAGGGCCGUUGACUCCUGCUCUGUAUCUCACCUCUAGUUCCGUCACAGUGCAUGAGCUGUCAGUAGGAGCCUUUUAAUGCAGAUGCUAAUACCUAUUCUUAAUGCUAGCCCAUCCCCACACCUCCUGAAUUGGUGAGAUAUAUCCUGGGAACAAGAGAAUCUGAAAGCUCCUGGUCCUCAGGCUAGCAAGAGCCUUGCCUGUAAGAAGUGGGAGAAGAUCACCUCUCUCAGGAGGCAGAACUAAGGCUGCACAGCACAAGAGAGAUGUCUGACCACACAGUCUGGGUGGCAGAAGGACUCCUGUCCUUUUUUCCACAGAGACCUGAGUACCUCUCCAGGUGCCACCAUUUUCUGUCUGGGAACAUCUGCUAUCACCAAGCCUCAGUUUCCUGCUCUACAAAACUGAGAUGGUCUUUUCUAUACAAGGCCCCAGGAGGAUCACUGCAAGUCACUGCAUUUCAUGGUGCCCGGAUUUCCCUGCAUUUCUAGAAUGUUAACAGAGAUAAGUGGGCUCCAGGGGAAGAGAUUCUUUAUGACUAGAGACAUUCUGGUCGACUUUGGACCCCAGAUUCUAUGGACAAUAGCAUAUGGACAUGAGCUCUGGGGAAGUAGGGAUGACUGAGCCUGAAGAAGAGCUCUCAAGCCUUACACUCUCCAGACCAGCCUUGGGUUGCCUGAAUCCCAGCAUAGCCUCAUGGAACCCCUGCCUGGGUCCUAGCACCUAGUUUGACCUGGGCACAAGUACUCACUCACUCACUCACCAAACAUUCACGGAGUGUCCGUGACAGGCUCCCUAUGGAUUAAGCACUGAAGAUAAAA